RNAcentral lists this ribosomal RNA (253 nucleotides) under uncultured bacterium. RNAcentral describes it as "partial 16S ribosomal RNA". It matches the Rfam family "Bacterial small subunit ribosomal RNA", at positions 524 to 776 of the family's 1533-position model. The record is from RNAcentral.
UACGUAGGGUGCAAGCGUUAAUCGGAAUUACUGGGCGUAAAGCGUGCGUAGGCGGUUCGUUAAGUCCGUUGUGAAAGCCCUGGGCUCAACCUGGGAAUGGCAGUGGAUACUGGCGAGCUAGAGUGUGAUAGAGGAUGGUGGAAUUCCCGGUGUAGCGGUGAAAUGCGUAGAGAUCGGGAGGAACAUCAGAGGCGAAGGCGGCGAACUGGAUAGUAACUGACACUGAACUACGAAAGCGUGGGUAGCAAACAGG